CUCCGUAGGGUGAACCUGCGGAGGGAKCAUUWCCGACGKKUACAACUCCCAAACCCAAUGUGAACCAUACCAAACUGUUGCCUCGGCGGGGUCACGCCCCGGGUGCGUCGCAGCCCCGGAACCAGGCGCCCGCCGGAGGGACCAACCAAACUCUUUUCUGUAGUCCCCUCGCGGACGUUAUUUCUUACAGCUCUGAGCAAAAAUUCAAAAUGAAUCAAAACUUUCAACAACGGAUCUCUUGGUUCUGGCAUCGAUGAAGAACGCAGCGAAAUGCGAUAAGUAAUGUGAAUUGCAGAAUUCAGUGAAUCAUCGAAUCUUUGAACGCACAUUGCGCCCGCCAGUAUUCUGGCGGGCAUGCCUGUCCGAGCGUCAUUUCAACCCUCGAACCCCUCCGGGGGGUCGGCGUUGGGGACCUCGGGAGCCCCUAAGACGGGAUCCCGGCCCCGAAAUACAGUGGCGGUCUCGCCGCAGCCUCUCCUGCGCAGUAGUUUGCACAACUCGCACCGGGAGCGCGGCGCGUCCACGUCCGUAAAACACCCAACUUCUGAAAUGUUGACCUCGGAUCAGGUAGSAAURCCCRCUGAACUUAAGCAUAUCAAUAAGCGGAAGAA
This 611-nucleotide ribosomal RNA is filed under the name Trichoderma viride. RNAcentral describes it as "eukaryotic LSU rRNA". The stretch from base 219 to 372 matches the Rfam family "5.8S ribosomal RNA". The record is from RNAcentral. Lineage: Eukaryota; Fungi; Ascomycota; Sordariomycetes; Hypocreales; Hypocreaceae.